Molecule: ribosomal RNA, 558 nt
Filed under: Sordaria fimicola
Lineage: Eukaryota; Fungi; Ascomycota; Sordariomycetes; Sordariales; Sordariaceae
Description: eukaryotic LSU rRNA
Rfam family: 5.8S ribosomal RNA (bases 206-359)
Source: RNAcentral
CAGCGGAGGGAUCAUUACAGAGUUGCAAAACUCCCACAAACCAUCGCGAAUCUUACCCGUACGGUUGCCUCGGCGCUGGCGGUCCGGAAGGCCCUCGGGCCCCCGGAUCCUCGGGUCUCCCGCUCGCGGGAGGCUGCCCGCCGGAGUGCCGAAACCAAACUCUUGAUAUUUUAUGUUUCUCUGAGUAAACUUUUAAAUAAGUCAAAACUUUCAACAACGGAUCUCUUGGUUCUGGCAUCGAUGAAGAACGCAGCGAAAUGCGAUAAGUAAUGUGAAUUGCAGAAUUCAGUGAAUCAUCGAAUCUUUGAACGCACAUUGCGCUCGCCAGUAUUCUGGCGAGCAUGCCUGUUCGAGCGUCAUUUCAACCAUCAAGCUCUGCUUGCGUUGGGGAUCCGCGUCUGACGCGGUCCCUCAAAAACAGUGGCGGGCUCGCUAGUCACACCGAGCGUAGUAACUCUACAUCGCUAUGGUCGUGCGGCGGGUUCUUGCCGUAAAACCCCCAAUUUCUAAGGUUGACCUCGGAUCAGGUAGGAAUACCCGCUGAACUUAAGCAUAUCA